GGGGAAUAUUGCACAAUGGGCGGAAGCCUGAUGCAGCGACGCCGCGUGAGGGAUGAAGGUCUUCGGGUUGUAAACCUCUUUCAGCAGGGACGAAGCGUGAGUGACGGUACCUGCAGAAGAAGCGCCGGCUAACUACGUGCCAGCAGCCGCGGUAAUACGUAGGGUGCGAGCGUUGUCCGGAAUUACUGGGCGUAAAGAGUUCGUAGGCGGUUUGUCGCGUCGUUUGUGAAAACCCGGGGCUCAACUUCGGGCUUGCAGGCGAUACGGGCAGACUUGAGUGUUUCAGGGGAGACUGGAAUUCCUGGUGUAGCGGUGAAAUGCGCAGAUAUCAGGAGGAACACCGGUGGCGAAGGCGGGUCUCUGGGAAACAACUGACGCUGAGGAACGAAAGCGUGGGUAGCAAACA
This 406-nucleotide ribosomal RNA is filed under the name uncultured bacterium. RNAcentral's name for it is "bacterial SSU rRNA". It matches the Rfam family "Bacterial small subunit ribosomal RNA", at positions 356 to 774 of the family's 1533-position model. The record is from RNAcentral.